AAAAUGAAAUGGUAAAUUGGUUAAAACCAAUUAAGGGUAAAAUGGGAAUUUUUAAAUUUUUGUAGGGGUAUGAGAUUAAUUGUAGGGGUACAAGGUAAAAUUUUCCGAAAUGAUUUGUUCAAUCUAAUAUAAUUUGUAAAUGAUUCAUGAAUGAAGAUUUGAUUUUUUACCUUUGAUCUAAAUUGGAAUGAUUUGAAUAUUUUCGUGAUAAAAAAUGUAUAAAAGUGAAAAUAAGAAUGCUAAACCUAUC
Molecule: long non-coding RNA, 250 nt
Filed under: Lathyrus oleraceus (garden pea)
Lineage: Eukaryota; Viridiplantae; Streptophyta; Magnoliopsida; Fabales; Fabaceae
Description: Pisum sativum (pea) long non-coding RNA (PSAT_LNC022762)
Source: RNAcentral